This 301-nucleotide ribosomal RNA is filed under the name uncultured bacterium. Its description in RNAcentral is "partial 16S ribosomal RNA". It matches the Rfam family "Bacterial small subunit ribosomal RNA", at positions 509 to 807 of the family's 1533-position model. The record is from RNAcentral.
CAGUCGCCGCGGUAAUACGAAGGGUGCAAGCGUUACUCGGAAUUACUGGGCGUAAAGCGUGCGUAGGUGGUGGUUUAAGUCCGUUGUGAAAGCCCUGGGCUCAACCUGGGAAUUGCAGUGGAUACUGGGUCACUAGAGUGUGGUAGAGGAUAGUGGAAUUUCCGGUGUAGCGGUGAAAUGCGUAGAUAUAGGAAGGAACACCAGUGGCGAAGGCGACUACCUGGACUGAUACUGACACUGAGGUGCGAAAGCGUGGGGAGCAAACAGGAUUAGAUACCCCUGUAGUCCCUGUCUCUUAUAC